UACAGAUAUUAUUAAACCAGCAUAAUUAGCUUUGUCUGUAACAUUGCAUUUAAGAAAUGCCUUGCAAUAUUCCUCUGCAUCUGUUUCAUCUUUCAGCUUUGUGAUACCAGCUGCCCAUGCCACCGAACCACAAAACCAAAACAAAGUCAGGAGUAUGGUCACACCAAAGUCCUACGUUGAUAGGUGAAUACAAAAGAUAGCAGCGUGAAUACUUUAAGAACUAAAAUUAUUCCAGUAAAUUGGA
Molecule: non-coding RNA, 244 nt
Organism: Paramuricea clavata
Lineage: Eukaryota; Metazoa; Cnidaria; Anthozoa; Malacalcyonacea; Plexauridae
Source: the annotation of a GenBank genome assembly